This is a small nucleolar RNA of Heterocephalus glaber (naked mole-rat), 72 nucleotides long. Ensembl annotates it as small nucleolar RNA, C/D box 113-5. The record is from Ensembl. Lineage: Eukaryota; Metazoa; Chordata; Mammalia; Rodentia; Bathyergidae.
GGGAUCUAUGAUGACCACUGGUGGUGUACAAGUGGUAAACAAUGAAUAUGACUCUGGAACUCUGAGGUCCUU